GAAAAUGAAAAUUUUGGGCUGCUAACCUAAAAUAUUGCUAUUUUUGUAACAUUUUCU
Molecule: transfer RNA, 57 nt
Filed under: Ibla cumingi
Lineage: Eukaryota; Metazoa; Arthropoda; Thecostraca; Iblomorpha; Iblidae
Description: tRNA-Ser
Source: RNAcentral